This 519-nucleotide long non-coding RNA is filed under the name Chinchilla lanigera (long-tailed chinchilla). RNAcentral's name for it is "lncRNA (ENSCLAG00000028466.1)". The record is from RNAcentral. Lineage: Eukaryota; Metazoa; Chordata; Mammalia; Rodentia; Chinchillidae.
CGCCCGGGUGUGGGUGGCACCAACCAGGCUUAUAGGCUGGAUGGGAUAAAAGUCCAGAAGGCUGGCUGCUUCCUCCUCCUGCCUGCCCUGCCAUGGACUGUUUCUCCUCUGCCAGGCUCCUCUGCCCCGCCACCCUGCCUUGGACACAGCUGACUACGGGCUGAAACCUCUAUGAACUGUGAACUACAGCAAAUCUCUUCUUUUUUGACUUGCGGGUAUCGGGGUAUUUUGUCCAGCAAUGAGAUGCUCUGGAAACAGAAGUUGGAGAUCAAGGUGUGGUCAGCCUGGCUCUUCCUAAGGGCCCUGUGGCAGGCAGCCUGGGUUCCUUGGCUUAUACCGGAUCAGAGGUCUACCUACUCCAGUGGGACUUCAUUUCAACUGAUGCUGGCAGGUGAUCCUACUUGUAAUCGAGAUCACAACUUGAAGUACCAGAAGCCAUGGUUUCAACCUAUGGCUCUGCAGCCAGCGCAGGUACACACAACAGUCACUAACCUUUGCUUGAAUUUUGCGUAAAAUCAU